AACAGAGUAGAUGAAAUGCGUCAAGUGUCAAAGGAUGGGAUGUUGCCUUUGAACGAAGGGGAGACCCGCGUUGUUUUAUCGCUUCCGCUGUU
Dethiosulfatibacter aminovorans DSM 17477 is the source of this 92-nucleotide regulatory RNA element. It matches the Rfam family "THF (Tetrahydrofolate) riboswitch aptamer". From Rfam's summary of the family: THF riboswitch presents a pseudoknot that joins P1-P2 and the loop of P3 and two THF binding. The record is from Rfam. Lineage: Bacteria; Bacillati; Bacillota; Tissierellia.